Molecule: non-coding RNA, 1302 nt
Organism: Pimephales promelas (fathead minnow)
Lineage: Eukaryota; Metazoa; Chordata; Actinopteri; Cypriniformes; Leuciscidae
Source: RefSeq, a predicted model, not a curated record
AUCACCCACAGCUGCGGCUGUUGAGGUGAUGGACGUGUGUGGAGAAGAUGAGGCUGAGUGUAACUGACUGAUUGAUUUACAGUUAUGUGUGACACUGAAGGAUGUGGGGCCCAGAUGUGAUCCAAGAAAAGCUGACCCCAAGGACUGUGGGGCUCUCUAUGGUUUAUGAGGCUGUUAACUCUUACUCUGUGUUCCCCAAAAUAGAGCUCUACAUGACCCCACAGUGUGUGACAGGGCUCUGAGUGACACGAAUGACAUGGGCUGGAAUGGGCUCCGAGGUCUGAUAGAGGUGCAAAUCCAUUUCUGUUUCCGCCAUUGUCCCUCCAGCACUUCAUCCUGGCAGGUUAGCAGGCAGGUUUCAGGGAAUCCGAGGCCGGGAACAAGUGUGGGUGUCUCUCUGUUGCUACAUCUGAUGGGGAUGCACUCAACACUCUGCUGUUGCUAUGGUUACUUCCUCUGGGUGUGGACAAGGAUGAGAAAUAUCUUGGGAGCAUAUCUGUUUGUGCAACAAUUAUAUUGCAUAUGACCACAGAGUGGACACUGCAAAUCAAGAGGCUUUUUUACCUGACUGGAUUAUGGGGUGUCGACCAGCUCAGGUGCAUGUAAAUGAAGGCGACAUCCAGCUGGAGAGCGGCGCGAUGAAGAAGUAGACUGUGGUCUGACAUUGACAGAUAGGGUGUGUCUCCAGCUAUCGACUUGGGCCCCGCCUCUACACCACGUCGCACUGCCCUUUGAAAGGUGCCAGAAAGAUGUGCCCUAUAACUCAGCAGCCGAUUGGGGCAUAAGCGGGAGGAGCAGGAGAACUGGCUGCUGCUGAUAAAGCUUCGCCCUUGAGAGGUGAGGAAGGGACAGGAAAGGUGAGGAGGGGACAGACAUUCAUUUGGACAUUUACCAGCAGCUCUAAGGAUUAAUUCAACAUGCAUCUGCAAUCCCAUAAUUCCCAGAGCUCAUCAUGAUUAGAGAGUUUUCCAUUUACACGUGCCAGCAUUUCCUAUGUGAAAUUUCUGUAGUUUGGGGAAUGAACAUAGGAUAGGAUUGUUUUGUUUAAAUAGUGACGAGGAAAGCCAAUUUGUGAAAGCGGAGAUGUUAAAAAAAAAUCAGGAACAAAAAAGUCUUGCACACUAUCGGUCAAAAUAGCUUUAUUCGCUGCGAUGUUUGGUCGUUUGACCUUCAUCAGACGGGACACUUUCUUUUGCCUUUUUGUUUUUUGUCUUUUUGUUCUUGAUUUUUGAUCUUUGUUCUUUUUUUUUUUUUGGUCUUUUCUCGCAUAUAUCUAUUACCUUGCAGAUGUGCAAGGGUAAU